Homo sapiens (human) is the source of this 1133-nucleotide long non-coding RNA. RefSeq lists it as uncharacterized. The record is from RefSeq and is a predicted model, not a curated record. The transcript has 2 exons. NCBI's taxonomy places the organism in Eukaryota, Metazoa, Chordata, Mammalia, Primates, Hominidae.
AGUCCGCUAGAGUCCGCGCGCCGGGCAACCGCCCGGGGCUGAAGUCCUCCCCACACCAUGAUCCUUCCGUCCUUUAUUUUCUUUCUUUUUAAAAAGAAACAAGAUCUUGCUCUGUCGCCCAGGCUGGAGUGCAGUGCGCGAUCAUAGCUCACUGCAGCCUUGAACUCUUGGGCUAAUUUUUAUUUUUUGUAGAGAUGGGGUCUCGCUACGUUGCCCAGCUUCGAGUUACUUCCAGAACGUCGCAGCACACGUUAUCACUUCCUGCAUGACGUCUUUAUAGAAUUUGGUGACAAUGUCGCAGUCCAGGAGGGAGGCCCGCAGCCAGCAUCACCAGCCCCUUCCUGUUUGCACAGGCAGGGAGGAGAACGGCAGCUCCCAGGCUUCCACUGGGGAGUCCCUCCGGCUUUCUCCGGGAUUCCGCCCGCCCCAGGGUCUCAGACCAACAGAAGGACCCGGGAUCCCUCAGCAGCUCCGGACCUCAUCUGCCCCACUUCGGCAUCCCGCGCGGGAAUAUGACCAUGUAGGAGUAACCCGGGGCUCUCAAGGACUCUACGGUUUGUCACGGUUUGAACGCAAGCGCAGGGCCUGGGGCGGGUGCAGGUGGAGGGUCGGCCUCUUUCUGCCCUUGGGAACGCCCCUUUCUGGAUGUGGACCGGCGAGGCGGUCUCUCCUUUCUGCCCUCGCCUGGUGAAAUGUGGGCACUGCUGCCAGGAGAAAAAAAACUGAAGCUGUGAAUUCAGUUCAUCACCCUUCCCUUGUUUAUUAAAAAAUCGGACCUUGGCCGGGCGCGGUGGCUCACGCCUGUAAUCCCAGCACUUUGGGAGGCCGAGGCAGGCAGAUUAGGAGGUCAGGAGAUCGAGACCAUCUUGGUUAACACGGUGAAGCCCGGUCUCUACUAAAAAUACAAAAAAGUUAGCAGGGUGGUGGCGGUCGCCUGUUGUCCCAGCUGCUCGGGAGGCUGAGGCAGGAGAAUGGCGUGAACCCGGGAGGCGGAGCUUGCAGUGAGCCGAGGUCGUGCCACUGCACUCCAGCCUGGGUGAAAAAAUAAAAAAAAAAAAAGAUCAGGACCUUUACCCGCGCUGACGGUGAUUGGUUUUCAUGACCAAUAAAGAAAUUCGAAUGAGAUGAAGCUA